UCACCUCCAACUUGGGUUAUUUAUUAAAAGUUGUUCUAAGAAAAUAUUUAUAAAAUUGAAAAAUAAUUGGUGGCAACAAGUACGCGACAACGAAUGUGACUCGUAUUUAAAAGCAGAUAGGGUAGGUCAAACUUUAAAAAAUCUAAACAUGCAUCAGAAACUCGGUUUUGCAUCAUCCACGAUGUCCUGAAGGGGAAUCCGAGUAACUCGUCACCAGCUUGCUGAAAGAAAUAGAAGUACUCUUCAACUAAUUAUGCAGAAACAUAGUAGAAAAGUUGCAUAAACCUGGACCCAGUCAACCUUCAUGAACUAUGGCAAUGAAAGAAUUUCUAGAAACAAGGAGAAACAAUUCUAGAUUUUCAUAAAUGCAUCAGAAAAAGGAGCAACUCUUGUCAAAAUAAAAUAGAUUUUCAUAAAUGCAUCAGAAACUCGGUUUUGCAUCACCCAUGAUGUCCUGAAGGGGAAUCCGAGUAACUCAUCAUCUGCUCCAGGGUAAUGUUUUGUUAUGUACAAACAUAUAAAUACAUAUACUGAUAUACAACUAUAUAUAUAUGACAUAAAAAAGUGAGAAAUUUAAAGUCAUUUGGGUUACAAGCAAAUGAAAAAUAACACCAACUUUGAUGUCUUAAAUUUAAAAGACCAGUAUGCAAGAGAAAAUUAGUUUUAAAAAAAUGGAAGUGAAAAGAAGACCAAUCAAAAGCAAAAAAAUAAAGGUAUGAAGAUGAAUAAAAUAAAGCCCUAAGGUUUAAAUACAAAAUGGAAUGCAUUAGUUCUAUGCAUGCCAACACAAUUGAAAUAAACAGCAAAGAUGUUCUAAAAAUCAAUUGAAAUCACUUGGUAUUGAUAUAAUGAAAAUUAGCCUAAAGAACAUGUUGGACAUUCCACCUUUCCGGCGAGGAACUAGUUACUGUAGCUUAAAUCUCAAAGAGUCAAUCUGACUUUGAGGGAAGAAUUAAACUCGUGAAAAAAUAAAGAUGUUAAAAAUGGUUAAAAGACAAAAACUAUUUUACAUUAAAAGCCAACAAUAAAUACAAUUAUAAAAUAACAUGAAUGAAAGCAAAUCCUCCAAUCCUUAAAGUAGAAAAAACAGAAAUCUAAUAUAUUUAACAGAAGCAAACCUGAUCAGGCUGAGCAACAUCAGAAAAUAUCACAUCAACCAUCCCAACAAGCAUACGGUACUUGGCUGGAUGCCUAGCAUCCUCAAUAAUAGGUAUAACAUUAGUUCGCUUCUUUGCCAUGUUAACCAAGUCCCUACCACUUCUGUGAGAAAAUUCAACGGCAUAGACUACUCCAGACUACAAUUAUUGAGAGUGUGUAUUAGUACAUGCAGCUCAUUAGUAAAACAAAGAAAAGAGCUGGGUUAAGUUUAAUUUAGACUACUUACAGGGCCAACAAGAUCAGACACAUGAGAGACGGUUGUUCCAGAAGCAGCUCCAAGAUACAGAACCCGAGCACCAGGUUUCUUUAUCCAAUAAGAUGAGACAAUUAGAAGCCAACAUACAUAAUAAUAGCAAAACACAGACUGCAAACUCAACCAUAACCAAAUAUGUAUUAGGACAAAAAACAAACACUUACUAUCCAGAUGUUGUCAACUCCUCCAAGAAUGGCAGCCGCCAACUUAGAACGGAAGGGAUUCCAUACCCUGUACUCAACCUUAGUUCCAUCUUCAUUCUGUUCGCAAAAAACAAAAAAGUAAGGAAAUCAAUACCAGUAGCUUUACAGAUGUUAUUAAUUAAGUGGUCUCAAACAAAUAUGACCGAUUAAUACAUUAUGCAAAAGAGAUAUCUUGUGCGGUGUUGAGCUAUCUUAAACGAUGUUAAACAAGUUUCUGUAAAAAUCUUUUAUUCAACAAUCUAUCAAAUAUACAGAUGAAUAGCUACAACCAUAUGAGAAACCAGAAACAGGCAUGAAUAGCCAAAAAAAAAUAAAUUGCACUCUUUGAAACUCAAAAUGCCACAAUCAAAUAAAAACAAGAAAUGAUACAACUGGCAUUGCAAAAUAUAAUAAAAAAAUUGGCAGAAUUUUUUUAAUAUUAACAAUAACUUGAAGCAGUAGAAUGAUAUGCAACAAAGGAAUAAGUAUACAUUGCUAAUUACAAAUUAAGCAAACAUGUACCAAUACUUGGAGGCUACCAGCAAAGAAUUAACUACACAUUUCUCUGAUAAGGGAUAAAUGAGUAAGAACUCUGCAACUUGGUAAAACCAAAACUUAAAAGCAACUUAUUCAAUUAAAAGGAAUUACAAAUGAACACAUCUAAAUGUGCUUAUUAAAGAAACAUGUUCAAUCAAAAAUGCUUACAAAUAAACACAUCUAAAUGUGCUUUUUAUUCGCACAUAUCAUGACAAGCUCAAAAUUAACUUCACACAUGUCUCCAAUCCCCAAAAAUGUUCCACUUAAUUUCAACCACAAAAAGUAAAGAAAAAAAUACUCAUUGCACACAGUAUAUUCAAAAAGUCAAACUUGAUCCUAUAUUUAGAAAGAGAGGGAGUAUUUGAUAUAUCAAGGCUGGUAUCCUAUACUGCACGUCUGCGCCUAAUUUUUUAAUUGAGCACCUAACCUCUUAGUUUUUGAAACCAAGGAACUAUUUCCUUGAAAUUUCAAUCACAUACGCUAGGUAGCUCAGUAGCUGUGGACAAAAUACACACGAUUUCACGUGUUCGUUUAAUGGUGCUUAGUUGAAUUUUAAUCUUAUGUGGAUAAUCAUCAUAACAAAUAUGGCCAUAUGGAAAGACCCGUAUUUUUAUAUAUCAAUAUGGCGAACUGUGAUUUUGUGAGAUAAGGUGGUUUGGUUUUUGGGAAAUAUAGGGAGCUGCAGUAGACAUGGAUUUGGGUGCGGGUAACAUUGAUGGCAAGGCAUUGAACAAGAGCUUAAUUGUGAUCUGAAAGGAAUUCGCUGAGUGAACUCUGCUGGUUGACUAGUGCUUUUGGAGGAAGAGAGAGGUAAGUGGGUCCUCAAAAGAAAAUGGUUAACAUCUCAAAUCUGGCAGGAAAAAGAGAAAAUGAGGAACCUGGAUGGCAAUUUCCAACACCGGUGACAAUAAACAACUUAUCAUUGACAUCAACCAUUGAUGACCUUGACCCCCUCACCAGUCAACCAUAGCCUCACCUUUCCCAUUACCAGAAAACAUCAUGCCGGUGACAUCUAAAGCCAAACAUAGGUUAGACCAUGAAGUUAGCAAUCUAGAAGAUUUCUUAGUUGUGAUCCAGGGUUUCACAACCAUUCUCUACACUUUUGAAAUCUACCACAAAACCGAGCUUACAUUAAAAUUUUCAAAAAUUAUGACAAUAUUUUGGUAAAUAUUCCACUUCAGCUUUGCAGAAGCCAACUAAGUAAAAUGAAAUUGCAUGCGAGGUUCAUGCAUGUAUUUUGUCCAUGUAAGCUGAUCAAAGUUGAUCAAAAAAAAUUUGUGUAUUCCAUGAUUGCAAAAUUAAAACAUUGAGACUCAAUUAAAGUACAGAGCAGCAAAGUGUCUACUAGCCUUUAUAUCAUAGUUAUCAAGGUAACAAGUUGAGUCGAGGUGAGUCGGUAGCCGGCUUAUGCGACAAAGCGCCCGAUUAGUCAUUCACAAGAACAUAUUAAAUUACAUAUAUUUAAUAUUUAUUUGAAUAUUGAUAUAUUUAUAUUUUUAAUGAUUUACUAUUUCCAUAAUGCAAGUUGUAGCAUAUCAAAUCACAACAAGAAGUGAACAAGAUCAAGUCAAAACGAAAAUUUUAUUAUAGUUGUAAUUUUUUAAACUUUUACCAAUUUCAAAUUGUAUAGAUAUUGAUAACUUCUUAAUAUUUAGUUUUAUUCAAUAUAAUUCUUAAAUUUAUGUUUAAUUUCUCAACAUCGUAUUUAGAAUAUCAUAAAUUUCAAUAUUAAGAAUUCAAUAAUUUAUGAUAAAAACAAAUAAACAAUCAUUGUUAAGAUAAAGACAAGCAUAGUAAUAUCAUAAGUCGUAACAUGACAACCAUCCUUAACAAGACAAACUCCAUUACAACUAUAAUAUGUGCUGUUUUAAUAUAAUAAUUAUAAUAUUAUAACAUGGUACUAAUAUUAUUCAGCUAAUUAUAUUUUCUUACCUAACAACUAAAAAAUUAACACCAACAAGGAAAACAGACACACCCAGCUCAUAAAUUGACAUAUUUGCAAAAGAAGUUAAAAGUCAAAACUCUUAUUUGAAUGUGUGCCCCCUCAUAAAUAUAAUUGGACCCAUAAAUAAAAAAAAGAAGCCAACAACGCAGUGAGAGGAAAAAAAAGAAAAGGAAGAAUCGUCAGUGGAAGAAGAGAAGGUAGAUAUAGAGAAGAAUCACCGGUCGUAGGAGAAGCCCAAGUUGCCAGUCGGAGUGGUACACUCUCUCACUCAGUCUCGUGCUAUCUGAACCUUUUUCCUUUCUGUAAUUUGGGAUUAAGUUUUAGGAAAUGUCGGACUGCGAAGGUUUCUUUCUUUUUUAUUUUAUUUUUACCAAUUGGUCUUCGGGUCAGGGCACACACACCUUGUCCAAGGUGACGACUUCUUUCACUGAGCGCUCGACUUGCGAUACCUCCCCCUAGUCGCCCAGACGACUUGGUACCAUAGCAACGAUCAGACGCCUAAGUGUCGCCUAGGCGACGACUUGAUAACCAUGCUUAUAUGUGUCUCUACCCUCUACAUUCUUUCUUUAUUUGUUUUAAUUUCCAUUGCAUUAAAGCUUCUUUACAUAAAGUACUUAAACACUCAUAAUUCAACAAUAAAGAUUGGGACGCAAAAAAAAAUUACAAAAGAAAAGGCAAGAGAAAGGAGGUCUUUGGUUCAAAGGCAUUGCACAACAAUGCAUCUUCGGAAAAAAAACAAAAAAGCAAAUGAAAAACAAACAAGAGAGAACAACAAGGAGAGAAUACAUGAAACAAGUAGAACCAAUAACGGCUUGCCCAAAAAAGAUUUCACAACAAGCUAUAAAAUUUCCACUUACGAUAAUUUAAUGUACCAAUUCAAUGCACUAAGCACAGGCCAUCAACAUGAAUCUAUGACUAUGAUAAAUCAGAAAGGUACCAAAGGUCUAUGGGUGACAGAUGUAAGGUACCGCCACUGUAUGAGAGACUACACCCCUACGCAAGUUGAAGUCAACAUCAUUAUGUCUAGAAUUAAUCUCAAUUUCUGUUUUAACUAAAUAUUUCCGAUAAGACCUGUUGCAUUCAUUUUUCUUCUCUAAUAAGUAAUUCAAUCUACUACUCAUUGCAUAAGAAUUAUUGUUAGGAAUCUGUGUCAACCCAAGGUAAGGACCUUACUUAAGAAGAAAAACAUGUUGAUGAGGGGAUUUAGGAGUGAUACGCCACAACAACAAAAUUUACGGCGAAAAAGUUUGCCAAGACUGUUUUCAGUUAUCACAUUAUGUUGUUGACUGUAACUAUUAUAUCGAGUUCAGGUAGUUUCCCACCAUACUAGAUUUGUAAAAUGAAAAACAAUAUAUAUAUAUAUAUAAAGACAAGCUAGACUCUCAUGAAAAAACAUUCACAAAAGUAUCAAAAUAAAUUCAAGAACAUCCGCUUCAGUAGAUCAUUUUUCUUUUAUCACAAAUUCAAUCAAGCAACCGCACUAAUCAUACAAAUGAGCAUUCAAAUUCAGAAUAUGCAAAAUUCAAAAAUGGUUCAUAUAUUAUACAAAACAUAAAUUUGCAAAACAAUAUCAAGUGAAUCCAUCAAAUCAAAUGAAAAGAUAUUUCAGAACUAAACAAUUUCAUCUAAAAGAGCAAAUAAAAAUUUUUGAGUUCCACAUGCUAAAAUAAAUACAGACAAUCUUAUGAGUUGGUACCCAACCUAGCCACCUCUCACCACUGGCGGGCCCAGAAAAUUUCAGCUCAAGGUACACUUUUCAAAAUAAAUAAUACAUAUUUUAAACAAAAAAGGCAGAAGAACAUUUUUAUCCAUAGAGAAAAGUUGGAAAUAAAUUGUGUAAUGAAAUUUUGCCUGUAAUGUUUUUAAAUCACAAAUGUUGAACUUAAAUAUUUUUCUUUUGAAAAAAUAAUAAUAACAUGCAUUGAACUGUUAAUAUCUAAUGAAUUUAUUUGAGAUACUAAAAUUGAAAUACAAAGAUAUUAUUAACAUACUAUGUUAGAAUUUAGAAAAAAGGUUGCAUAAUUUUAUUAAUAGUAUAAAAUGAUACAAUGUUCUUAAGUUUAUCAUCACAAUUGCAUUAUCAUAUUAUCACUAAUAAACUAAAAACUCAAUAAAUUUAAUAGCAAACUCGAAAUCGAAAUAUAUUCUUAAAAUUCAUGAAGUUUAUAAAUUCAAUUUAGCUUGCAUUAAUUUUUUAAUUUUAAAAGUACAAAUUUAUAUCUUUUUAAACAUGCAAAUAAAUACCAUUUAUAUAAUAAAAAAUUUAGAGAGACCCAUGGGUGCCAUCCCCAUUGCCCCAGUGUGAGUCCACCCCUGCCUCGCACAACAAAAUAAGUCAAAAGUGGGGAUUCUAUUACUACAUCCAUUUCAAAAUAAGUCUUAAUUUGAAGUUCUGAAGUCGAUAUGUGAUAUUAUAAAUUGAUUUGAUGUUGAUACGCGAUUCUUGUAAACUACGGAAAGUAUUACUAAUCACAAAAUUCGUUAUUCUCAACACUUACAUAAUUUUAACUCAAUUUUAAAUUUUACAAUUUCACAAAUUGACUUUUUAAAGUAGAAAUAGGACAUUUAUUUUGGAGCUGGAAGAGUAUGAUUUUCUUCUCAAAACCUGCCUAUUUAUUUGAAUGUAGAAACAUCAACUUGAGGAAGGAAAGCAACAAUAGAAACCAGGAGCCAGAUCUUAGAGAAUUAACUUUUGACGUUUAAAGGAAUAAAGCUAAGUUUUGAAGGCCUAACAUCUGACUAAACCUCUCCUCAAGGACAAACAUGAAGAUUCGUACUCUCAAUUUAGUAUCAUGUUCAUUUUAAUCACCGCAACAUACAAUAACAACAGUUUCAAUAGUUUAGUACUACUAAAGUUUCAUUUCCAUGGUGCAGUGCAUUUGUACCCAUAUUAAUAACACUACUUGCAACUCAGGGGGGAGUUGAAAUAAAGCAAGUUAUUUAUUAAAUUUCAUUUGAAAAAAUAAUGCAAGCUCAAAUCAAGUUUGCUGAGAUAAUAGAUUCCAAAAAUUGGAGACAAAACUAAGUACUUUACAAAUAUUGCAUUAAUCAAAAUCAAACAAAUUCACACCAGUUUUGAAUUUUAGGAUUUCCCAAAUUGACUAGAAAAAUAUGAACUUGGGGGGUAAAACUAAGAUGCGAAUAAAUAAUAGAAAUUACCUACAUGCCAUAUUAUGACUUGCAGCCCCCCAAAAAAUAAAAAUACAUGAUACUCUUAUCAUUUAAAGCUUACCCACCAACAUCAAAUGAUAAACAACAAAAUUUACUUAUCAACACAAACAAAAAAACAGAACUUUAACUAAAUUAAUAAGUUUCAACGAAGAUACCUGAACGGAUACCCUCUUCUCAUUGUACACAGCUUCACCAGGAACCAUGUUCUUAGUACAAAGAGCAUCUUCUUUUCCCUUAGCAAUAAACACACCUUCGUGUCUAUGAGGCUCAACCACAACUUUGCUACCACCUUUCAUUCCACCGCCUCUCCCACCGCGGCCUCGUCCCCUUCCAUCACCUCGACCGCCUCUCCCCCUUCCUCCUCUAUCGCUGGCAAAACCACCACCUCCUCGGCCCCUACCUCCGCUACGGCCACCGCCUCCUCUAACGCUGGCAAAACCACCACCUCCGCCCCUACCUCCGCUACGGCCGCCGCGUACUGGGGGUCUCAUGUUAGGGUUUGAGAGGGAGACAAGGAGUUGGAUAGCUUAGCUUUAUAGGGAGGGUUUACUGGUUUAGGGUUCGAAUUUGUAUUUUAUUUUAAACAUAUUUGUUAGUUAGGAUACCGUGACGGUGCUGUGACCGCCAAUUGUGAACUACUAAGUGUACAAUGUGACAAUCACUUCAGAGAAACAGUUGGGUAUAUAAUUUCUACCGUAUUCCUUUUGAUAAAGAGUACUUGAAUAAUUAAUAUUAAUUUUAGACUUUCCAAAAUACAACUAUAAAAAAUAAUACCUCUUUUAAAAUAGAAGAUCAUCUGAAGUUGACUUAAUUUUUUAAUAUUAUUUUUAGUGAUCCUAAUUUUUAUCUUAAUAGCAUCAACCAUUUAUUAACAUAUUUUAUAAAAUAAUUAGUGUAGUUGAGCUGUGGAGGAAAUAAUUGGUUUGUGCAAGAUGAAGAUGGUAUACAAAAGAACUCGCAUCACAUUCUCAAUUCAGCAAAACCUUGUCAAAAUAUCCCCUACAAUCCAAAGAAACUGAAGAUGAAAGACUUCAGUAUAAAACCACAACAUAAUAAUAAAUAGACUGAGAUUCCAAAUAACUACAAGCCAACACUAUCUAGGCAGCAGCAGCUUUUUGUUUCUUUGGCACACGGUAUGCACCAACAACACAUGCAUGGUCUCUCUCAAAGGGUUCAAGGGUGACCUGCUCACUAGGCUUGAAUUGAUCUGCUUGUAGUUUCUUCACUUCCUGAGCAAAGACGGCCUCAGCCGGAACAGUCGAGUCUAUGCAGUUUGCCUGUAAAUUUCAGACAACAGGAGUUAAAUCCCGAGAAAACCUGGUUGGUAGCUUCUUUUUAAAUUAUGCACAAUGUACAUGUGUAGCCCACACUAAAAAAAUAACCUUUACACAUGACACCUAUAAAUACUCUUGACAACAAUUAUAUUUCAGCAUUUCAUUUAUUAAAAUUCCAACACUAAGAUGCAAACCUUGAUUGAUAUAACAAAAUGACCUCCAGCUUUCAAGAAGUACGAUGCAUUCAAAGCCAAAAUUCUUGCCUGCAAAUAUAGCAAUCAAAGAACUGUUUACACAUUUUUUAUAUAAAAAAAAUGUCAAAAACCAUGAAAACAAAAGGAUGAAAUCUUGCAGAUACGAAACAUGCAAUCUCUGAGAACUUUAACUACAAGAUCAAAAGAUGGUAUGUAUCAGUCGGCCUUAUAUUUUCGUUACAGAGAAAGGAGUUUUCAUUGAUACACCACGAUCAAAAAAUCAAAUCAUCAGAAAACUCUAACUGCACAAUUCAAAAAAUAACUUACUAGCAGCAUAAAGAAAAUAAUUUCAAAUUGGAACACAUGCUUGCACAGGUAACCAACUAAUUCCACAGGCUCCACGCAAGAAUCCAACAAAAUUCAUUCACCUCCAACUUGGGCUAUUUAUUAAAAGUUGUUAUAAGAAAACAUAUAAAAUUGAAAAAAAAAUGGUGCCAACAAGUACGCGACAACAAAUGUGACUCAUAUUUAAAAGCAGAUAGGGCUAGUCAAACUUUAAAAUAUUUAAACAUGCAUCAGAAACUCGGUUUUGCAUCAUCCAUGAUGUCCUGAAGGGGAAUCCGAGUAACUCAUCAUCAGCUUGCUGAAAUAAAUAGAAGUACUCCUCAACUAAUUAUGCAGAGACAUAGCAGAAAAGUUGCAUAAACCUGGACCCAGUCAACCUUCAUGAACUAUGGCAAUGAAAGAAUUUCUAGAAACAAGGAGAAACAAUUCUAGAUUUUCAUAAAUGCAUCAGAAAAAGGAGCAACUCUUGUCAAAAUAAAAUAGAUUUUCAUAAAUGCAUCAGAAACUCGGUUUUGCAUCACCCAUGAUGUCCUGAAGGGGAAUCCGAGUAACUCAUCAUCUGCUCGUUGGUAAUGUUUUGUUAUGUACAAAC
Molecule: long non-coding RNA, 9651 nt
Filed under: Panax ginseng (ginseng)
Lineage: Eukaryota; Viridiplantae; Streptophyta; Magnoliopsida; Apiales; Araliaceae
Description: long non-coding RNA (PGIN_LNC002001)
Source: RNAcentral